UUGAACGCUGGCGGCAGGCCUAACACCUGCCAGUCGAACGGUAACAGGAAGCAGCUUGCUGCUUUGCUGACGAGUGGCGGACGGGUGAGUAAUGUCUGGGAAACUGCCCGAUGGAGGGGGAUAACUACUGGAAACGGUAACUAAUACCGCAUAACGUCGCAAGACCAAAGAGGGGGACCUUAGGGCCUCUUGCCAUCGGAUGUGCCCAGAUGGGAUUAGCUAGUAGGUGGGGUAACGGCUCACCUAGGCGACGAUCCCUAGCUGGUCUGAGAGGAUGACCAGCCACACUGGAACUGAGACACGGUCCAGACUCCUACGGGAGGCAGCAGUGGGGAAUAUUGCACAAUGGGCGCAAGCCUGAUGCAGCCAUGCCGCGUGUAUGAAGAAGGCCUUCGGGUUGUAAAGUACUUUCAGCGGGGAGGAAGGGAGUAAAGUUAAUACCUUUGCUCAUUGACGUUACCCGCAGAAGAAGCACCGGCUAACUCCGUG
RNAcentral lists this ribosomal RNA (489 nucleotides) under uncultured bacterium. RNAcentral's name for it is "partial 16S ribosomal RNA". It matches the Rfam family "Bacterial small subunit ribosomal RNA", at positions 30 to 507 of the family's 1533-position model. The record is from RNAcentral.